This 486-nucleotide ribosomal RNA is filed under the name uncultured bacterium. RNAcentral's name for it is "partial 16S ribosomal RNA". It matches the Rfam family "Bacterial small subunit ribosomal RNA", at positions 30 to 507 of the family's 1533-position model. The record is from RNAcentral.
AUUGAACGCUGGCGCCAUGCCUAACACAUGCAAGUCGAACGGCAGCACGGACUUCGGUCUUGCGUCGAGUGGCGGACGGGUGAGUAAUACAUAGGAACGUACCCUGUUGUGGGGGAUAACUUGUCGAAAGAUUAGCUAAUACCGCAUACGACCUGAGGGUGAAAGUGGGGGAUCGGAAGAGGCCUCAUGCAGCAGUGACGCCCGGUGUCGGAUUAGCUAGUUGGUGGGGUAAAGGCCCACCAAGGCGACGAUCAGUAGCUGGUCUGAGAGGAUGAUCAGCCACACUGGAACUGAGACACGGCCCAGACUCCUACGGGAGGCAGCAGUGGGGAAUUUUGGACAAUGGGCGAAAGCCUGAUCCAGCAAUGCCGCGUGUGUGAAGAAGGUCUUCGGAUUGUAAAGCACUUUUAUCAGGAAAGAAAUCGAGUUGGUUAAUACCUGGCGGGGUUGACGGUACCGGAAGAAUAAGCACCGGCUAACUACGUG